RNAcentral lists this ribosomal RNA (481 nucleotides) under uncultured bacterium. RNAcentral's name for it is "partial 16S ribosomal RNA". It matches the Rfam family "Bacterial small subunit ribosomal RNA", at positions 28 to 523 of the family's 1533-position model. The record is from RNAcentral.
GACGAACGCUGGCGGCGUGCUUAACACAUGCAAGUCGAACGCUGAAGCCCUUCGGGGUGGAUGAGUGGCGAACGGGUGAGUAACACGUGGGUAAUCUGCCCUGCACUCUGGGAUAAGCCUUGGAAACGGGGUCUAAUACCGGAUAGGACACAUCGCCGCAUGGUGUGUGUGUGGAAAGUUCCGGCGGUGCAGGUUGAGCCCGCGGCCUAUCAGCUUGUUGGUGGGGUGAUGGCCUACCAAGGCGACGACGGGUAGCCGGCCUGAGAGGGUGACCGGCCACACUGGGACUGAGACACGGCCCAGACUCCUACGGGAGGCAGCAGUGGGGAAUCUUGCGCAAUGGGCGAAAGCCUGACGCAGCAACGCCGCGUGGGGGAUGACGGCCUUCGGGUUGUAAACCUCUUUCGACCGGGACGAAGGAUUCGUUUGACGGUACCGGUAGAAGAAGCACCGGCUAACUACGUGCCAGCAGCCGCAGUAA